GCGCACCCGUCCCGUGCGUCCCCGGACGUUGCUCUCUGCCCCGGGAACGUCGAGACUGGAGCGCCCGCGCCGAGCCACCUUCGCUGACCCGGAGCGCUGCGGCUCGACUCACCGCGGAGGCGCCGGGACGCGGGAACCAGGCAAUUUCUCUGCUGCCUGGGGUGGCGGCGUUGGGGGCUGCGCAGCCGGGGAACUUCCCACCCAGAGGAAAGGCAGCCUCCUCCCCGCUCUUCUCAGCGGCCCCGCACCGCCCCUCACCACCGUGGGGCUGUCAGCUGUUCCGCUGGAUCUGCUUCCGUUCCUUGGGCUGGCAGGCUACACCUCACACCUUGGGAUUCCAGGAUGUCGGACAAGGCUCUCAAGACCGUCUGGCUCCCCCAGACCCUAGUGCAGGCUGGCAGGCAGCUGUGGGCGAGGUAGGGCGUGUCUGCGGCCGGGCAGAG
Molecule: non-coding RNA, 443 nt
Organism: Kogia breviceps (pygmy sperm whale)
Lineage: Eukaryota; Metazoa; Chordata; Mammalia; Artiodactyla; Physeteridae
Source: RefSeq, a predicted model, not a curated record